AUUGAACGCUGGCGGCAGGCCUAACACAUGCAAGUCGAGCGGAUGACGGGAGCUUGCUCCUUGAUUCAGCGGCGGACGGGUGAGUAAUGCCUAGGAAUCUGCCUGGUAGUGGGGGACAACGUUUCGAAAGGAGCGCUAAUACCGCAUACGUCCUACGGGAGAAAGCAGGGGACCUUCGGGCCUUGCGCUAUCAGAUGAGCCUAGGUCGGAUUAGCUAGUAGGUGAGGUAAUGGCUCACCUAGGCGACGAUCCGUAACUGGUCUGAGAGGAUGAUCAGUCACAAUGGAACUGAGACACGGUCCAGACUCCUACGGGAGGCAGCAGUGGGGAAUAUUGGACAAUGGGCGAAAGCCUGAUCCAGCCAUGCCGCGUGUGUGAAGAAGGUCUUCGGAUUGUAAAGCACUUUAAGUUGGGAGGAAGGGCAGUAAGUUAAUACCUUGCUGUUUUGACGUUACCGACAGAAUAAGCACCGGCUAACUCUGUGCCAGCCGCCGCGGUAA
RNAcentral lists this ribosomal RNA (500 nucleotides) under uncultured bacterium. Its description in RNAcentral is "partial 16S ribosomal RNA". It matches the Rfam family "Bacterial small subunit ribosomal RNA", at positions 30 to 523 of the family's 1533-position model. The record is from RNAcentral.